GCAAGUCGAACGGGAUCCUGCAAGCUUGCUUGCGGGUGAGAGUGGCGAACGGGUGAGUAAUGCGUGACCAACCUGCCCCAUGCUCCGGAAUAGCUCCUGGAAACGGGUGGUAAUGCCGGAUGCUCCCGCGCCCCGCAUGGGGUGUGGGGAAAGCUUUCGUGGCAUGGGAUGGGGUCGCGUCCUAUCAGCUUGUUGGCGGGGUGAGGGCCCACCAAGGCGUUGACGGGUAGCCGGCCUGAGAGGGCGACCGGCCACAUUGGGACUGAGAUACGGCCCAGACUCCUACGGGAGGCAGCAGUGGGGAAUAUUGCACAAUGGGCGCAAGCCUGAUGCAGCGACGCCGCGUGCGGGAUGGAGGCCUUCGGGUUGUAAACCGCUUUUGUUUGGGAGCAAGCCCUUCGGGGUGAGUGUACCUUUCGAAUAAGCACCGGCUAACUACGUGCCAGCAGCCGCGGUAAUACGUAGGGUGCGAGCGUUAUCCGGAAUUAUUGGGCGUAAAGGGCUCGUAGGCGGUUCGUCGCGUCCGGUGUGAAAGUCCAUCGCUUAACGGUGGAUCCGCGUCGGGUACGGGCGGGCUGGAGUGCGGUAGGGGAGACUGGAAUUCCCGGUGUAACGGUGGAAUGUGUAGAUAUCGGGAAGAACACCAAUGGCGAAGGCAGGUCUCUGG
This 667-nucleotide ribosomal RNA is filed under the name Bifidobacterium boum. Its description in RNAcentral is "bacterial SSU rRNA". It matches the Rfam family "Bacterial small subunit ribosomal RNA", at positions 57 to 732 of the family's 1533-position model. The record is from RNAcentral. Lineage: Bacteria; Bacillati; Actinomycetota; Actinomycetes; Bifidobacteriales; Bifidobacteriaceae.